This 150-nucleotide ribosomal RNA is filed under the name Staphylea pinnata. RNAcentral describes it as "5.8S ribosomal RNA". It matches the Rfam family "5.8S ribosomal RNA". From Rfam's summary of the family: 5.8S ribosomal RNA (5.8S rRNA) is a component of the large subunit of the eukaryotic ribosome. The record is from RNAcentral. Lineage: Eukaryota; Viridiplantae; Streptophyta; Magnoliopsida; Crossosomatales; Staphyleaceae.
AACGGAUACCUUGGCUCUCGCAUCGAUGAGGAACAUAACGAAAUGUGAUACUUGGUGUGAAUUGCAGAAUCCCGUGAACCAUCGAGUCUUUGAACGUAAGUUGCGCCCAAAGCCAUUAGGCCGAGGGCACGUCUGCCUGGGCAUCACACA